UCCGUAGGGAGCAAGCGUUGUCCGGAUUCACUGGGUGUAAAGGGUGCGCAGGCGGAUCGGUAAGUUAGAGGUGAAAUCUCACAGCUCAACUGUGAAACUGCCUUUGAUACUGCUGAUCUUGAGUUAGGGAGAGGUUGAUGGAAUUCCAGGUGUAGCGGUGAAAUGCGUAGAUAUCAGGAGGAACACCGGUGGCGAAGGCGGGUCUCUGGGCCGAUACUGACGCUGAGGAGCGAAAGCGUGGGGAGCGAACAGG
Molecule: ribosomal RNA, 253 nt
Filed under: uncultured bacterium
Lineage: Bacteria
Description: partial 16S ribosomal RNA
Rfam family: Bacterial small subunit ribosomal RNA
Source: RNAcentral